RNAcentral lists this ribosomal RNA (253 nucleotides) under uncultured bacterium. RNAcentral's name for it is "partial 16S ribosomal RNA". It matches the Rfam family "Bacterial small subunit ribosomal RNA", at positions 524 to 776 of the family's 1533-position model. The record is from RNAcentral.
UACGAGGGGAGCAAGCGUUGUUCGGAUUUACUGGGCGUAAAGGGCGCGUAGGCGGCGUGACAAGUCACUUGUGAAAUCUCCGGGCUUAACCCGGAACGGUCAAGUGAAACUGUCGUGCUAGAGUACAGAAGGGGCAACUGGAAUUCUCGGUGUAGCGGUGAAAUGCGUAGAUAUCGAGAGGAACACCUGCGGCGAAGGCGGGUUGCUGGGCUGAUACUGACGCUGAGGCGCGAAAGCCAGGGGAGCAAACGGG